GGGGGGGGGGGGGGGGGGGCGGGAGGGGGGCGGGGCGGGGGGGGGGGCCCGGCGUUGGGGGGGUGCGCGGGGGGCGAGCGGGUGAGUACCACGUGCGUAACGUGCCCUUGGCUUUGUGGUAACGUCCGGACACUGGGGCGACUAGCUGAUAGGAGCUCCUGCGGCCUGUUUGGGGUUGGAAAUUUGCGGCGGUUGGGGAUGGACUCGCGGCUUAUCAGCUUGUUGGUGGGGUAUGGGCUUACCAAGGCUUUGACGGGUCGCCGGCCGGAGAGGGUGACCGGCCACAUUGGGACUGAGAUACGGCCCAGACUCCUACGGGAGGCAGCAGUGGGGAAUAUUGCACAAUGGGCGGAAGCCUGAUGCAGCAACGCCGCGUGCGGGAUGACGGCCUUCGGGGUGUAAACCGCUUUCGCCUGUGACGAAGCGUGAGUGAUGGUAAUGGGUAAAGAAGCACCGGCUAACUACGUG
This 468-nucleotide ribosomal RNA is filed under the name uncultured bacterium. RNAcentral's name for it is "partial 16S ribosomal RNA". The stretch from base 53 to 468 matches the Rfam family "Bacterial small subunit ribosomal RNA", at positions 34 to 507 of the family's 1533-position model. The record is from RNAcentral.